UACGGAGGAUGCGAGCGUUAUCCGGAUUUAUUGGGUUUAAAGGGUGCGUAGGCGGGCUUUUAAGUCAGCGGUAAAAAUUCGGGGCUCAACCCCGUCCGGCCAUUGAAACUGGGGGCCUUGAGUGGGCGAGAAGAAGGCGGAAUGCGUGGUGUAGCGGUGAAAUGCAUAGAUAUCACGCAGAACCCCGAUUGCGAAGGCAGCCUUCCGGCGCCCUACUGACGCUGAGGCACGAAAGUGCGGGGAUCGAACAGG
RNAcentral lists this ribosomal RNA (252 nucleotides) under uncultured bacterium. RNAcentral describes it as "partial 16S ribosomal RNA". It matches the Rfam family "Bacterial small subunit ribosomal RNA", at positions 524 to 776 of the family's 1533-position model. The record is from RNAcentral.